CGGGGUGAGCGGCGGACGGGUGAGUAACGCGUGGGAAUAUGCCCUAUGGUGCGGAACAACUGAGGGAAACUUCAGCUAAUACCGCAUGUGCCCUACGGGGGAAAGAUUUAUCGCCAUAGGAGUAGCCCGCGUUGGAUUAGUUUGUUGGUGAGGUAAUGGCUCACCAAGACUUCGAUCCAUAGCUGGUCUGAGAGGAUGAUCAGCCACACUGGGACUGAGACACGGCCCAGACUCC
RNAcentral lists this ribosomal RNA (235 nucleotides) under uncultured bacterium. Its description in RNAcentral is "partial 16S ribosomal RNA". It matches the Rfam family "Bacterial small subunit ribosomal RNA", at positions 87 to 339 of the family's 1533-position model. The record is from RNAcentral.